UAUAGAGCUAUGAAGAGGAACUGGAAAUUACAGAGGACUUGUCUGCAGGCCUGAGUGUGAUUUUUCUUUGUCCUUCAAUGGGAGGCUUCAAUUCUCCUUCUGGUUGUGAAGAUCUGCUUGUAUAUAUAUGGGAAGGUUGGAAGGGGACUUUUGAAUCACGGCCUUCAAAUACUAGAAGGGAAGAAAGAAGCCCACACUGGCUACUGGAUCCUGCGCAUACAUUUCUUUUCCUUCUCAUUUCAGGAAGCUGAGAUGAAAGAACGUGAGUGAGCAGCAGAGAGGCAGCUAUCAGAGGCAGUGGGAAACUUGAAAUUGGUAGUUGAGAAAAUACACACCUACAAGUGACUUCAGUGACUGCACACCAACCUCUUGGGAAAACUCUGUUGGAGUGUUUUGUUUUUAACUUUUGUACAAUGUUUGGACCCAAUUAACACAGAAAGACAACCAAAUGGUCAGAGGACAUAUUUGCAGAGAGAGAGAGAAUUCACGCAAGAAAAAACAAAGUACUUUAAGAUUUACCAGUGACCAAAAACUAUGACUCGACUGCUGGGCAGACUGUGUGGAAAUUCGGUUCACACAAACUUUUCUAGGGGUGGUCAUCAUCAUCCUUAGGAAAGUGCAUUCUGGUGGCAUCAAUCACAUCCUUAAAAAGGACUGUGCCUGUUUAUAAGCCCAGUUGUUCCUUCCCUGUGAAAUAUGGUAAGGAUAUUAGUACACGGAGAAUAGAGAUUUAUGAUAAGUGAUGCUCAAUGAAGGAUGAUUUAAGGACAUACUGAGAGUAGGUAAGGAAAUUGUCAACUUAGAACCCAGCAGGCAUUAAAUAAUAGAUGAGGAAUCAAUAUAGCAACAGUUUUUUUUUAAUCAUACUGUACUUUUAUAACCAUGUGAAAUGUGUUUUCUAUCUAUGGAUAUGUUGCGUAAGGGUACAGGUGUGAGGGUAACCAGAACAUGGCAGAUUAUUUAAAAUCAUCCUGAAAAUGGCACUUUACCUGAUAAAAGUGAUUCUAAACCAUAGAAAAAUGAUGGAAGACACAGAAGAGCAGCAGAGGUAGGUAGAGAACUACUGCAGGUGCCAGGUAAGGAGCCUUCUUCCCAGCAGUUGCAGAAUCCUUCAGCACUGAUGCAAAUGAUAUCGUGGUCCUUAGACUCCUUAAACAUACGGUUUCUCAUGUGUUGGCUUUUUCAGAUCACCACUUCUGAAAGAAAGGCUCAUGAGAACUGGGUAAGCUUUUUUUUUUCUUUCCUUGCUUUUGGGCAUAGUCUGCCAGGUCAGGACGUGGAUGUAUUUUUCUCCCCACAGCUCUGUGUUUAAGCCUUGCAGAGGGAGAUGGAAGAGAAGGCUGCCUACGAGCAGCACAGACAGGAAAUGAUUGAAAAACAGAGUGCUGGAGAGACACAUUAGUCAGGAGCCAGCUAGUGGACGACUAGGCCUACAGAAUCCUCCAUGGAGAGCCCUUUCCCAGUUCCCCUGCAGGACUUCAGGAAUUCACAUCUCUCCAGAGCUCUUUGUGCCCAUGGGUUGUACCUCCAGAGUGGAGAAGACCCUUUGUUAGGAAGGGAGGCAGAGGGGGACAAGAGGGUCUUACAGGUCGAGCUGGGAUCAAUUUCCACUCCGCCUCUGGCAAGCUGUGUGACCCUGGGUGAAUUUUUUCCUUCCUCUGGGAUCCUCUUUUCUUCGAUUUAGCACAGAGUAGCCACACUGACCUUGCAGCAUCCUGAGAAUCAGAGAUAGGACAUGAAAGGCCUGUAAAAGUUCUCCCAAGAGUAGCUGUGAUUCGUGUAUGAAUAAUGGGCUUUUCAUUCCUCCUUUUGUCUGUGUUCAUCACAUGCAAGGAACUAACUUCAGUGAUGGUGAUGAGGGAGAGAUGGGAGUAUACCUGGGCUAGACACCGUGUAUCUGGAAUAUGCUUUUUUACUACUGUGUAAUGACUCUGUCUUCCCUGGAGCAGGACCCAGAGUGCCUACAUCUAUAGACAGACACAUUGGCAUGUGGUGACAGCAGGUUAACCUCAUGGCUUCCCUUCACAUCCCAGCUGUGCUCAGGACUCGUAGAAGGGAGAUUUUGGGCACUGACACUGCUAUU
Long non-coding RNA from Sapajus apella (tufted capuchin), 2083 nucleotides. RefSeq lists it as uncharacterized. The transcript is spliced from 3 exons. NCBI's taxonomy places the organism in Eukaryota, Metazoa, Chordata, Mammalia, Primates, Cebidae. The record is from RefSeq and is a predicted model, not a curated record.